UAGUGAAUGGUUACCACAUCUGGAUAUG
This 28-nucleotide small RNA is filed under the name Bombyx mori (domestic silkworm). RNAcentral's name for it is "ovarian small RNA-23041". The record is from RNAcentral. Lineage: Eukaryota; Metazoa; Arthropoda; Insecta; Lepidoptera; Bombycidae.